Nelumbo nucifera (sacred lotus) is the source of this 1996-nucleotide non-coding RNA. Lineage: Eukaryota; Viridiplantae; Streptophyta; Magnoliopsida; Proteales; Nelumbonaceae. The record is from RefSeq and is a predicted model, not a curated record.
AUUCUCUGCUCUGUUGCUUUCCUACAGAAUGCUAUGGGCGUCUCUUAACUUGGAGGAGGUAUUUCUUACGCAUUUCUGUAAAACCUGAGUCAAACUCAAAGCUGUUGUUAAUUUGCCGGGAAAGAUUAGCAGUGGUUCUGCUCCGGACGAAUAGUAAGACCAGUCGGACAAGGCCGAGAGAGAAUCAUGAAAAUGGUUCACUCCACAAUGAGGCGGUUUGGGUUUGAAGAUCGGGUCGAACCAGAUCCCAUCCCGACGGUUUGAAAACCCUAAACCCUGCUCUGUAGCUGGUAAAAGCAUAAUUUCCAAAGGAAGUUCGAGACAAAACUUCUAGACAAAUCAAGCAAAGAAGAGAAAUCUGAAAGUCGUUGACAAGGAAGAAAGAGAGGAUCGACUCCUGUUCUGGGCUUUCGGAUUAUUCUGUUUUUAAGUUGAGGGUGAAUUUUUGAGAUUUCCAGUAUAUUAUAUCGCUCUGGUCAGUGAAUAGCAGUCUUUGUGGAAGAUUGACGGUUUACAGAGCAAGUUCUAUAAAUUUUCCAUCAGAACUCCGAAGUUAUAGAACAGCCAUAGCUAAUGGGUUUCGUGCUUAAAGCUCCAACAAACUUUCUGCGACAGGAAAACCUUGUAUCUUUCUCCAGAAGCUCUAGGAGGAACUGUCUUACUCUUAGAAAGCAGAGACUAACAGUUUCAAUGUCAUCCGUGGCCAAUACAGCAACUUCGAUAGUCAAGCCAGAAACUGAGAAAAAUCUUGGGUUUCCAAUUAUGGUGAAUGGCUGCACUGGAAAAAUGGGAAAGGCAAUUAUACAAGCAGCAGUUUCAGCAGGACUUGAGUUAGUUCCUGCAUCAUUUAGCAGUCCAGAGGAAGCUGGUCAAGUUGUGCAAGCAGGUGGGAAAGAGAUUCAGAUAUAUGGUCCUCCUGAAAGAGAAGGUGUUCUUGCAUCACUCUUUGAUGAACACCCAAAUCUGAUUGCCGUGGACUUUACUGUGCCUGCUGCAGUGAAUGGCAAUGCAGAGCUAUACUGCAAAGUUGGUGUACCUUUUGUAAUGGGAACUACAGGUGGGGAUAGGGAAAGACUGUAUAAGACUGUGGAAGACUCAAAUGUUUAUGCUGUAAUCUCUCCACAGAUGGGAAAACAGGUUGUUGCAUUUCUUGCUGCUAUGGAGAUUAUGGCCGAACAAUUUCCUGGAGCCUUUUCAGGUUAUUCUUUACAAGUAAUGGAGUCUCAUCAAGCAAGCAAGUUGGACACGUCUGGAACAGCCAAGGCUGUCAUCUCCUGCUUCCAGAAACUUGGUGUCUCUUUUGAUUUGGAUCAGAUACAACAAAUUCGGGAUCCUAAACAACAAAUUGAGUUGGUAGGGGUCCCAGAGGAAUACCUAUCUGGCCAUGCAUUCCAUAUGUAUCACCUUACAUCACCUGACCAGACAGUUUCUUUUGAGUUUCAGCAUAAUGUCUGUGGGAGAUCAAUAUAUGCUGAGGGCACUGUUGAUGCUGCCAUUUUCCUAGCCAAGAAGGUUCGAACCAAGGCUGACAAGAGAAUCUACAAUAUGAUUGAUGUGUUACAGGAAGGAAAUAUGCGAUGAUAGGUGGUUUUGAUUUUUGAAGGCAUUGGUGCGGUGGUAAAAUCUUCAGUGCAUAAGAAUGCGGGUUCCGGCUGGCCAUUCAUGCAAAAAACUGCAGGGGGGGGGUAAUUAGACCAGGAUGCUGUGUACUGCUUCGAAUUUUGCAUUUACCAACCUAGGGUUGUCUCAUUGGUGUGUUAGCUUGUUUGUUCCAGCGUUGACGUGGAAUCAAAUCUUGCAACGAGCACUUUGGGAAAAACCGAAAAAUGGGUCAGGGGAAAGUUAAUGAUGAAUUGCAUUUAAUUAUGUACAACAUAUAGACCUGUAAAGUGGGCUGGGCUGCCCGCGGGAAGACACAGCCCAGCAUGACUCAGGCCGUGCCAAACCCUGUGCUGUUCCGGGCUGGUCGGGGUUUUGCCGUUUUGAUGCUUGUUUU